ACGGAGGUUGCAAGCGUUGUUCGGAAUAACUGGGCGUAAAGGGAGCGCAGGCGGUUGGGUAAGUCUAAAGUGAAAGCCCCGGGCUCAACCUCGGAAGUGCUUUGGAUACUGGCUUACUUGAAUACGUGAGAGGAAAGCGGAAUUCCUGGUGUAGGGGUGAAAUGCGUAGAUAUCAGGAGGAACACCGGUGGCGAAGGCGGCUGACUGGACCGAUAUUGACGCUGAGGCGCGAAAGCGUGGGGAGCAAACAG
RNAcentral lists this ribosomal RNA (251 nucleotides) under uncultured prokaryote. Its description in RNAcentral is "partial 16S rRNA". It matches the Rfam family "Bacterial small subunit ribosomal RNA", at positions 525 to 775 of the family's 1533-position model. The record is from RNAcentral.